UGGCCCGUUGGUCAAGUGGUUAAGACACCGCCCUUUCACGGCGGUAACAUGGGUUCAAAUCCCGUACGGGUCA
This 73-nucleotide transfer RNA is filed under the name Lactobacillus delbrueckii subsp. bulgaricus. Its description in RNAcentral is "tRNA-Glu". It matches the Rfam family "tRNA". From Rfam's summary of the family: Transfer RNA (tRNA) molecules are approximately 80 nucleotides in length. Their secondary structure includes four short double-helical elements and three loops (D, anti-codon, and T loops). Lineage: Bacteria; Bacillati; Bacillota; Bacilli; Lactobacillales; Lactobacillaceae. The record is from RNAcentral.